GGAAAAAUAAGGUAAUUCUUAUUGGAUUAUUACGUUCAAUUUAGGUUUUAGUAAAAAGAGAAACUUCAAUUGGAGUAAUUCAGAGGUGAGCAAAUCAUCGCCGGGAUUCACAGUCGUCGGAGAAUCACCGGAGGAAGAGUCCGGCAACGAUCAACAAUCUCUAAAUGUAUAGAAUUAUAUAAACUCCGACUACAGUAGCUUACCACCGAAAAGUAGAGGAAAACGGCAGAACCGGUUCAAACCGCAGCGGCUAAAGCAAAGCCGAUGAAACUUAGUUACAUCAGUAGAAAGUGGAAGGAGAUUUCAGCUUGAUAUCAAGAGAAUUUGAUCACUGAACCAUUCAAAAAGAUAGAAUGAUGGAGCGGAUUCAAAAACGAUGCGAGAUUUGUGGCAAUAUAUCCUUUAAUGAUGGUGGUGAUGGAUUCUUCUAUUGCACUCUUUGCGGCUCUCAAGCGAUGACAGCAUUGACACUGGUGUUGAUGAUGAUGACCUAUUCAAUCUGGAUGGGGGAAUAUAUGCUGCUAGUCAGCGCCGUGCUCCCACCCAGAUUUGUCAAGCUGAGCCGAUAUCUUAGGUUAAGCUUUCACAAUCCCAGCAUCUAGAAACUUUGAACACUUUAGAUGACAACCAAGAGGAUAAUGAAGGUGAUGGAGUUGAGCCUAACGAACCUGCUGAUUUUGGGUCGUCUCAAAGUUCCUUAACAUAUAUUGAUUAUUAUUUAGGAGUACGAUUAAGGUAUGUUAUGGGGUUACAAGUUAUGAUCCAAUUGCAGUGUAAGGCGCUAGUGGAGAAAUUUAAUGUAAGCCCUCUAAUUGCUGGGGUUGUUGGGCCUGUAUGACUGAGAUAUUUAGCACAUGAAAAGGUUAUGGUGGAUGAGUGGGCAGACAAUGUCAUUCAUGAAUCAGAAUCUCAAACUCGAGGUAUUUGAUUAACUUAUUGUUGAUAUGAAGCAUUGGUCACUUCUCAUUU
Non-coding RNA from Nicotiana tabacum (common tobacco), 969 nucleotides. The record is from RefSeq and is a predicted model, not a curated record. NCBI's taxonomy places the organism in Eukaryota, Viridiplantae, Streptophyta, Magnoliopsida, Solanales, Solanaceae.